This 492-nucleotide ribosomal RNA is filed under the name uncultured bacterium. RNAcentral describes it as "partial 16S ribosomal RNA". It matches the Rfam family "Bacterial small subunit ribosomal RNA", at positions 29 to 507 of the family's 1533-position model. The record is from RNAcentral.
AGUGAACGCUGGCGGUAGGCCUAACACAUGCAAGUCGAACGGCAGCACAGUAAGAGCUUGCUCUUACGGGUGGCGAGCGGCGGACGGGUGAGGAAUAAACCGGAAUCUACUUUUUCGUGUGGGAUAACGUAGGGAAACCUACGCGAAUACCGCAUAUGACCUCCGUGUGAAAGCAGGCGAUCUACGGACCUUGCGCGAUGGAAUGAGCCGAUGCCGGAUUAGAUAGUUGGCGGGGUAAAGGCCCACCAAGGCGACGAUGCGUAGCUGGUCUGAGGGAAUGAUACGCCACACUGGAACUGAGGCCCAGUCCAGCCUCCUACGGGAGGCACCAGAGGGGAAUCUUAGACAAGGGACCAGAGCCUGAUCCAGCAAUACCGCGUGGAUCCAGACGGCCUUCGGCUUGUAGAGCGAUUUUGUUGGGAGCGAAAAGAAGCACGUUAAUACCCGACGGUUCUGACGGUACCCAAAGAAUAAGCACCGGCUAACUUCGUG